This 331-nucleotide ribosomal RNA is filed under the name uncultured Solimonas sp. Its description in RNAcentral is "bacterial SSU rRNA". It matches the Rfam family "Bacterial small subunit ribosomal RNA", at positions 568 to 898 of the family's 1533-position model. The record is from RNAcentral. Lineage: Bacteria; Pseudomonadati; Pseudomonadota; Gammaproteobacteria; Nevskiales; Nevskiaceae.
UGCGUAGGUGGCUAUUUAAGUCGGAUGUGAAAGCCCGGGGCUCAACCUCGGAAUUGCAUUCGAUACUGAGUGGCUAGAGUUCGGUAGAGGGCGGCGGAAUUUCCGGUGUAGCGGUGAAAUGCGUAGAUAUCGGAAGGAACAUCAAUGGCGAAGGCAGCCGCCUGGGCCUGGACUGACACUGAGGCACGAAAGCGUGGGUAGCAAACAGGAUUAGAUACCCUGGUAGUCCACGCCGUAAACGAUGAGAACUUGACGUUGGUUCGUUUUACGAAUCGGUGUCGCAGCUAACGCGAUAAGUUCUCCGCCUGGGGAGUACGGCCGCAAGGUUGAA